Molecule: ribosomal RNA, 254 nt
Filed under: uncultured bacterium
Lineage: Bacteria
Description: partial 16S ribosomal RNA
Rfam family: Bacterial small subunit ribosomal RNA
Source: RNAcentral
UACGUAGGGGGCUAGCGUUGUCCGGAAUCAUUGGGCGUAAAGAGCUCGUAGGCGGUCUGUCGCGUCGGUCGUGAAAACUUGGGGCUUAACCCUGAGCUCGCGGUCGAUACGGGCAUGACUGGAGUUCGGCAGGGGAGACUGGAAUUCCUGGUGUAGCGGUGAAAUGCGCAGAUAUCAGGAGGAACACCGGUGGCGAAGGCGGGUCUCUGGGCCGAUACUGACGCUGAGGAGCGAAAGCGUGGGGAGCGAACAGG